GGCCCCGUAGCUCAACGGCAGAGCGAGUGACUCUUAAUCACCAGGUUGUAGGUUCAAAUCCUACCGGGGUCACCA
RNAcentral lists this transfer RNA (75 nucleotides) under Anaerolineae bacterium. Its description in RNAcentral is "tRNA-Lys". It matches the Rfam family "tRNA". From Rfam's summary of the family: Transfer RNA (tRNA) molecules are approximately 80 nucleotides in length. Their secondary structure includes four short double-helical elements and three loops (D, anti-codon, and T loops). Further hydrogen bonds mediate the characteristic L-shaped molecular structure. tRNAs have two regions of fundamental functional importance: the anti-codon, which is responsible for specific mRNA codon recognition, and the 3' end, to which the tRNAs corresponding amino acid is attached (by aminoacyl-tRNA synthetases). tRNAs cope with the degeneracy of the genetic code in two manners: having more than one tRNA (with a specific anti-codon) for a particular amino acid; and 'wobble' base-pairing, i.e. permitting non-standard base-pairing at the 3rd anti-codon position. Lineage: Bacteria; Bacillati; Chloroflexota; Anaerolineae. The record is from RNAcentral.